AUUGAACGCUGGCGGCAGGCCUAACACAUGCAAGUCGGACGGUAGCACAGAGAGCUUGCUCUUGGGUGACGAGUGGCGGACGGGUGAGUAAUGUCUGGGGAUCUGCCCGAUAGAGGGGGAUAACCACUGGAAACGGUGGCUAAUACCGCAUAACGUCGCAAGACCAAAGAGGGGGACCUUCGGGCCUCUCGCUAUCGGAUGAACCCAGAUGGGAUUAGCUAGUAGGCGGGGUAAUGGCCCACCUAGGCGACGAUCCCUAGCUGGUCUGAGAGGAUGACCAGCCACACUGGAACUGAGACACGGUCCAGACUCCUACGGGAGGCAGCAGUGGGGAAUAUUGCACAAUGGGCGCAGGCCUGAUGCAGCCAUGCCGCGUGUAUGAAGAAGGCCUUCGGGUUGUAAAGUACUUUCAGCGGGGAGGAAGGCGACGCGGUUAAUAACCGCGUCGAUUGACGUUACCCGCAGAAGAAGCACCGGCUAACUCCGUGCCAGCCGCCGCGGUAA
RNAcentral lists this ribosomal RNA (504 nucleotides) under uncultured bacterium. RNAcentral's name for it is "partial 16S ribosomal RNA". It matches the Rfam family "Bacterial small subunit ribosomal RNA", at positions 29 to 523 of the family's 1533-position model. The record is from RNAcentral.